This 442-nucleotide ribosomal RNA is filed under the name uncultured bacterium. Its description in RNAcentral is "bacterial SSU rRNA". It matches the Rfam family "Bacterial small subunit ribosomal RNA", at positions 958 to 1398 of the family's 1533-position model. The record is from RNAcentral.
AACGCGAAGAACCUUACCUACCCUUGACAUCCUGCGAAUCUGGUUGAGAGACUGGAGUGCCGAAAGGAACGCUGAGACAGGUGCUGCAUGGCUGUCGUCAGCUCGUGUUGUGAGAUGUUGGGUUAAGUCCCGUAACGAGCGCAACCCUUAUCCUUAGUUGCCAGCAAGUAAAGUUGGGGACUCUAAGGAGACUGCCGGUGAUGAACCGGAGGAAGGCGGGGACGACGUCAAGUCAUCAUGGCCUUUAUGGGUAGGGCCACACACGUGCUACAAUGGGGCGUACAGAGGGUAGCCAACCCGCGAGGGGGAGCCAAUCUCAGAAAGCGUCUCGUAGUCCGGAUUGGAGUCUGCAACUCGACUCCAUGAAGUUGGAAUCGCUAGUAAUCGCGAAUCAGCAUUGUCGCGGUGAAUACGUUCCCGGGCCUUGUACACACCGCUCGUC